RNAcentral lists this ribosomal RNA (253 nucleotides) under uncultured bacterium. RNAcentral's name for it is "partial 16S ribosomal RNA". It matches the Rfam family "Bacterial small subunit ribosomal RNA", at positions 524 to 776 of the family's 1533-position model. The record is from RNAcentral.
CACGUAGGGGGCAAGCGUUGUCCGGAUUUAUUGGGCGUAAAGAGCGUGUAGGCGGCCAGGUAGGUCUGGUGUGAAAACUCGAGGCUUAACCUCGAGAUGUCAUCGGAAACCAUCUGGCUAGAGUCCGGAAGAGGAGAGUGGAAUUCCUGGUGUAGCGGUGAAAUGCGCAGAUAUCAGGAAGAACACCAAUGGCGAAAGCAGCUCUCUGGGACGGUACUGACGCUGAGACGCGAAAGCGUGGGGAGCAAACAGG